CCUACGGGUGGCAGCAGUGGGGAAUAUUGGGCAAUGGGCGCAACCCUGACGCAGCCAUGCCGCGUGAGUGAAGGAAGUCUUCCGGUUUUAAAGCUCUUGCUGACAUGAUGAUGUCGGUAGCGUCUAAAGAAUCACCGGCAAACUUCGUUCCAUCAGCCGCGGUAAUACGAAGGGUGCGAGCGUUGUUCGGAAUUACUGGGCGUAAAGGGAGUGUAGGCGGAUAUGUAAGAUAGGGGUGAAAUGCCGGGGCUCAACCCCGGAACUGCCAUUAUGACUAUGUAUCUAGAGUGAAGGAGAGGAUAGCGGAAUACCUAGUGUAGAGGUGAAAUUCGUAGAUAUUGGGUAGAACACCGGUGGCGAAGGCGGCUAUCUGGCCAUUUCCUGACGCUGAGGCUCGAAAGCAUGGGGAUCAAACAGGAUUAGAUACCCUGGUAGUC
Molecule: ribosomal RNA, 437 nt
Filed under: uncultured bacterium
Lineage: Bacteria
Description: partial 16S ribosomal RNA
Rfam family: Bacterial small subunit ribosomal RNA
Source: RNAcentral